RNAcentral lists this small RNA (1045 nucleotides) under uncultured Pelagibacterales bacterium. RNAcentral describes it as "bacterial SSU rRNA". The stretch from base 1 to 658 matches the Rfam family "Bacterial small subunit ribosomal RNA", at positions 867 to 1533 of the family's 1533-position model. The record is from RNAcentral. Lineage: Bacteria; Pseudomonadati; Pseudomonadota; Alphaproteobacteria; Candidatus Pelagibacterales.
CACCGCCUGGGGAGUACGACCGCAAGGUUAAAACUCAAAUGAAUUGACGGGGACCCGCACAAGUAGUGGAGCAUGUGGUUUAAUUCGAAGAUACGCGCAGAACCUUACCAACACUUGACAUGUUCGUCGCGACUUUAAGAGAUUAAAGUUUUCGGUUCGGCCGGACGAAACACAGGUGCUGCAUGGCUGUCGUCAGCUCGUGUCGUGAGAUGUUGGGUUAAGUCCCGCAACGAGCGCAACCCUCACUUUUAGUUGCCAUCAUUCAGUUGGGCACUCUGAAAGAACUGCCAGUGAUAAGCUGGAGGAAGGUGGGGAUGACGUCAAGUCCUCAUGGCCCUUACGUGUUGGGCUACACACGUGCUACAAUGGUAUCUACAACAGGAAGCAAGACGGCGACGUUAAGCAAAUCCUUAAAAGAUACCUCAGUUCGGAUUGCACUCUGCAACUCGAGUGCAUGAAGCUGGAAUUACUAGUAAUCGUGGAUCAGCGUGCCACGGUGAAUGCGUUCCCGGGUCUUGUACACACCGCCCGUCACACCAUGGGAGUUGGUUCUACCUUAAGGCAAGGUUUAAAACCCUUGACCACGGUAUAGUCAGCGACUGGGGUGAAGUCGUAACAAGGUAGCCGUAGGGGAACCUGCGGCUGGAUUACCUCCUUUCUAAGGAUGAAUAAAAGUAAAAUUUUAUUCAAAAUAAUAUACAGGUAAUGUUGACCGUCCUCAUUUCUCUUCUUAAAAGUAGUGUUUCUCUUGCAUGGGGGCCGGUAGCUCAGUUGGUUAGAGCACACCCUUGAUAAGGGUGGGGUCGAAAGUUCGAGUCUUUCUCGGCCCACCAAUUUAAGAUCAUGGGGGAUUAGCUCAGCUGGGAGAGCGCCUGAUUUGCAUUCAGGAGGUCAGCGGUUCGAUCCCGCUAUCCUCCACCAAAAACACUUAGUUAUAAAAAAUUGUAAAUAAAAUAAUUAAUAUCAAUAUCUAUAUCCGAACAUUAGAAAUGUUAUUAGCUAAUGUUCAAAAUAAAAAUUUGAUUCAACACAGAAUUUUUUUCUG